AAGUGAUAAUGCUUUGGAAUUGGGGUCUAGUCUUGCUGGUGUUUCUUUCUUUAAUCAACAGGGCAUUACUCAUCAAAUUACCUGUCCCAAUACUCCUCAACAAAAUGGUGUUGUAGAAAGAAAACAUAGAAUCCUCCUUGAAGCAUGUAGAGCUUUACUUUUUCAAUCAAAGUUACCUGUUCAUUUUUGGGGGGACUGUUUAUUGACUGCCACCUAUUUGCUUAAUAGGAUUCCAUCCAGACUUCUUCACAACAAAUCUCCUUAUGAAAUACUGCAUGGCAAAGCCCCUACUUAUUCUCAUUUAAGGGCAUUUGGCUGUCUUGCCUAUGCCACUGUACCCAUUCCACAGAGAGAUAAGCUAAAACCUAGAGCUCUCUCCUGUGUUUUUCUGGGAUAUCCUUUUGCAAAAAAGGGCUACAGGCUAUAUGACCUCGCUAAAACCUAGCUCUCUCCUGUGUUUUUCUGGGAUAUCCUUUUGCAAAAAAAGGCUACAGGCUAUAUGACCUCACUACUAAGAAGUAUUUUGUGUCCAGGGAUGUUGUCUUUCAUGAAACCUGCUUUCCUUUUGACUCUGCUUCUGUUGUACCUCCUGAUGCUUCUGUUUUUCC
Molecule: long non-coding RNA, 608 nt
Filed under: Nicotiana benthamiana
Lineage: Eukaryota; Viridiplantae; Streptophyta; Magnoliopsida; Solanales; Solanaceae
Description: long non-coding RNA (NBEN_LNC016323)
Source: RNAcentral